CACAUACUCAACACUCUUAAAUAGAGAUUUUAAAAUUAAUUCAUUAAAUAUAAUUUAUAUUACUAGAUUUUGUAAAAAAAUUACAUUUAGUUAAUUUUUGAUAUUAAAACAUUAGCCAUCUAAUAUAAGUUGCGAUGUAUGGAGUAAUAAUAUGCAUCAGGUACAUAUAAUAGUUUCUUCUUCUUCAAUCAAUUUUAAUAAGAACAGUUAUAAUCUAUUUCCUAUAAAUGGUUAUGAUCAAUUUGUUAAAAAAAUAUUUUAAAUAAGAACAGUUAUAAUCAAUCUAUUAAAAAAUAGCAUUUGCAUACAUCUAUAAAUUCAAUCUUAUGAACGAAUAUAAUCAAUUUGUUAAAAAAUAUCUCAAAUUAAAACAAACGGUUAUGAUCAAUUUGUUAAAAAAUAGCAUUUCUAUUAAUCUAUUUUACGUUAAAAUUAAAAUUUAAUUAUAAAUUAAAUUUAAUUAAAUUAUAAAUUAAAUUUAAUUUUUAGAUAUCAAAUUUGAAUUAAUAAUUAAUUUUUUUAUUACAGUGGAUCAAAAUUAAAUUUUAAAUUUUAAAUUAAAUGUGAAUUAAAUUUUGAUGCUUUUAGUUUAAAACACAUAUUUAAAUUUGAUUCAUCAAAAAUAAAAAAGUAUAUAAAAAUGUUCGAUGUAUAUAAAUAAAAAAACACGAUAGGAUAUUGUAAAUAUUUUCUAAUAAAAUAUAACACAUUAAUUUAUAAAUAUAAUUUUUAUUGUAAAAUUUUGGAUAUAUAUAAUGUACAAAUUUAUAUUGAUUUGAAAUAAAUUAUAAUAAUUGUUACGUGCAUUUGCACGUACAUUCAACUAGUAUAUAUAUAUAUAUAUAUAUAUAUAUAGGACAUUCCAUCUACCAGGAGGAAUUCUACACUGUCACACUUACACCACGUCAUCAAUAACAAGCCAAUCAUAUUCCUUCUUUUCAAACAAAAGUACAAUAAAAAUACUUUUUUACAAUCAUGAUGGGACAUAUAUUCUUAAAAUGAUUAAUUUGAUUGGUUUGUUACGCCACGUCACUAAUAUACCCGUUGCAUUCUAGAAUUUUUCAUCUACCAGGGGUGUCACAUGAAGCUAGCUUCAAAAUUAGUAUGGGUAAAAGGAGCGCUCUUUUGUGGUGUCCGUAUCUGAGAGAGAUCAGACCGAGUUUAGUGCGCCCAGUGUACAGGUGCCUGAAGUGAGCGAAAAUUAAGGAGAAGUUUUCUAAGAUUAUUGAAAAUAAGAGAGGGGUAAAAAGAUUUAGGAGAAAGGCUCUAUUUGAAGCUAAUCUGUGUAGAAGAGAAGUUAGCUACGUAUAAAUCUAUCGAAUU
RNAcentral lists this long non-coding RNA (1323 nucleotides) under Ananas comosus (pineapple). RNAcentral describes it as "long non-coding RNA (ACOM_LNC038108)". Lineage: Eukaryota; Viridiplantae; Streptophyta; Magnoliopsida; Poales; Bromeliaceae. The record is from RNAcentral.